UACGUAGGGUGCAAGCGUUAAUCGGAAUUACUGGGCGUAAAGCGUGCGCAGGCGGUUUUGUAAGUCUGUCGGGAAAUCCCCGGGCUCAACCUGGGAAUGGCGAUGGAGACUGCAAGGCUAGAAUCUGGCAGAGGGGGGUAGAAUUCCACGUGUAGCAGUGAAAUGCGUAGAUAUGUGGAGGAACACCGAUGGCGAAGGCAGCCCCCUGGGCUAAGAUUGACGCUCAUGCACGAAAGCGUGGGGAGCAAACAGG
Molecule: ribosomal RNA, 253 nt
Filed under: uncultured bacterium
Lineage: Bacteria
Description: partial 16S ribosomal RNA
Rfam family: Bacterial small subunit ribosomal RNA
Source: RNAcentral